Molecule: RNA transcript, 3396 nt
Organism: Helicoverpa zea (corn earworm)
Lineage: Eukaryota; Metazoa; Arthropoda; Insecta; Lepidoptera; Noctuidae
Exons: 3
Source: RefSeq, a predicted model, not a curated record
UCGUCCCACUCGCUUCAACCGCGUCCACGACAAGUGGGGGCGACUGUGACGUCGUGGCACAACAGCUCGCCGCGUAUGCGCCGAGACCAGAGGUCAAAUCUUGCUUAUGCGCACCGGCCGCGCCCACGCGUUCUUACUACUUUAAUUCUUAUUUGCUUAAUUGUACUAUAUUGUUAUAUUUAAAGUCAUUAUACGUAUUUACAUGUUAUACAGUCCACUAGUAUUAUUUACUCCACCUGCUGAGCUAUCGUCGUUACAUAUGGUCCUUCUCCCAAGAAAAAUUGAACUGGACAAAGAAGACAAAGGACUUUGGAGGACAUCGUACACGUCACCGAGUGACUCAGUGAUUAUUAUCAAGUUUCUUCGCUGUGAACAUUGUUACGUCGUGAUAUAUCGGCACGGCUUGAGACUUUUCGGCCGUCUUAGCUGACGUCACCCAACUGACACGAGAAGAAACGGAAUUUGGGCUACUCAUCAUUCGUCAUCAUAACGGACAGCAAAUACACGUGUUCGGAUUGUCGUCGUGCAUUGAGAUAUCUGACAAGAAUACUCCUCGGCACAGUCAUCAUCAGUGGUUUGCACCGGAAAACAGUGAGCUCGUUCCAAUUCCUUAUUUAAUCAUCUCAUCAUCAUAAUCAUAUUCAUUAUCAUCCAUAUCCUGCAUUUCAUUCAUUUUUUACCUCAUAAUAAUUAAAGAACGGUGUUACAUUUUUUGCAAGUCAUCUCCACAUUAUUUCAUCAUAUUUCAUCCCAUUUUACCAUUUAUUUCAACUGUUUCAUCUCUUCAUUCAUUCAUUUCACUAUAAGUUAAUCAUAUCCAUUACAGUGUCGUUUUAUAUUUCAACCAAAAUCGAAUAUUAUUAUCUUAUAACGUUAACAUUACACAGCGAUUAUCAGUGCACAAACGCCUUGCAUUUUUAAAUAGCAAUACGCAUUCUGCUACAAUCUUGCUCGUGCACUUUAUCUUGCAACUCGUUGCUAUCGUUUUAUUGGAAGUGUUAACUUGCUGUUAGUUUAUAUAUUUCCUUAGUGCUUUAUUACCAAAAUCUAUCGCCUUCUCUUAAAAUGUCUGACAUUAAAAGCCUUAUUAAGAAACGUGCUUCAAUUAAAGCAAAGCUUACGCAAUUUUCUUCAUACUUGAACAUUUCCAAGUCAUGUGAACAGUUGAGCGAAGUUCAGAUUGUUGAGGUUGAGUAUAGACUUAAUACUAUCGAAAAUCUAUAUGAUAAAUACGACGUGUUACAGGCCGACAUGGAAGAGAUGGUGGACGACCUUAGCGAGCAAUAUGCGGAGCGUGAGGAGUUCGAAAAGCAGUACUACAGCUUGGUGGCUGCAGCACGUCAGCUGAUCAGCAAUGCUCGCAAGCAAGCUUCAGGGAACUCCAUAGCCGAGCGCUGGUGAAUGUGUCGGAUGCUAAAGGCAACGUUCAUACUGCACGAACCCUGCUGGAUAACGGGAGUACGACUAACCUUAUGUCACAGGAGUUGGCUCGUAAACUUAACAUUUCCACCUAUACAGUCGAGUCUAAGUUGCAGGUGUUUACCGACGCAUCUGAAAGGGCGUAUGGUGCUUGUUUGCAUGUCCGCAGCGUAUCGCUUAGUGGUGAGGUUCAUAUACACCUUACUGCUACAAGCAAAUUAGCGCCGGUCAAGUCAACGACCAUCCCCCGACUCGAACUUUGUGCUGCGUUGUUGAGUUCAAGAUUAUACGUAAAGGUACGUCAGUCACUUACACUACAUAUUGACGGCGUCUAUUUCUGGUGUGAUUCCACCAUAGUCUUGGGUUGGUUGUCCGCCUCACCCACGCAACUUAAGACCUUCGUUCGCCAUCGUGUCUCUGAAAUUCAGGAAACUGCGGAGGGUAGAACUUGGCGUUACGUUCCGUCACCAAAAAAACCCCGCAGACCUCGCUUCGCGUGGACUCAGAGCAGAUAAGCUACUUUCUUCUUCGCUAUGGUGGUCGGGACCACAAUUUUUAUUCAAGGAUUCAUCUACUUGGCCUCAAUUUCCUGAAUCGCAUCAACCCACUCAAAAUCUACCAGAAACAGUAACUUCUUCUUUUCUUCUUUUCAUACCUUCAAUCAUAACGACAAUAUCAUUUCUAAAUUAUUUACAACAUUUAAUAAAAUACAACGUUUUACCGCAUACUUACUUUUCAUUAACAUUAAAAUUAAAAAACAAACAGUUUGUCCUGGUCCACUUACAUCUAAAGAGUUGAAUAGUGCAUUACACAUUAUAUGUAUUAAGAUUUUGCCAACAGGAGUCAUUUCCUUCGUGUUGGAGUUGUAACAAUUCCUUUUAUGAUUACAAUAUAUUAAACACUAUUCUUUAAGCAACUAAACAUAUUAUUUGUAAAUUCUUAUUUGACAUGUAUCACCUACGACUUUUACAUCUUUUACCCCAAUUGCUUCUUAUAAAACUUCGUCACCAUUCACCCAUCAUGAUAGCUGACCGUUGGGACUUAUCAAGUGCUUUACAUGUGUGUUUGUGUGUUUGGCCACAAGGGCCGUCCAUCUUGAACCUUUAUCCGGCUUUUCUGGCUGCCAUGAACCGCUUUAUUGCUCGUAGGGGGAAGCCAAGCAACAUUUUCUCAUGUCUAGCAUUGUCCGCGGUUAAGUCAACCAAAGACCAUCUCAGACGCAUCCUUGGCUUAACGAAUUUAACGUUUGAAGAGAUGGCAACAUGUUUAAUUCAAGUAGAAGCUAUCUUAAAUUCCAGGCCCUUAACUCCACUUUCCGAUGACCUUUCCGACCUUAUUCCCUUGACGCCUGCCCAUUUCCUUAUUGGACGAUCGCUCAUCUUGUUGCCUCACCCACAGGUCCAGAACGCUCACGUGAACAACUUGCAGCGGUUCCGUCGCAUCGAAUGUUUAAAGCAACAUUUCUGGUCACGCUUCUCACAUGAGUACAUUUUGUGGCUCCAACAACGAACCGAAUGAACGAAAUGGCUCCGAUCGUCAGGGGAACUUACAGAAGGAACCCUUGUCGUCAUUAAGGAUAAAAGCUCACCUCCUCUGUUAUGGCUUUUAGGACGGAUCGUUAAGGUGCUUCCUGGUAGAGACGGCAUUGCACGAGUCGCCGACAUCCGCACACGUAAGGGUGUCAUUCGGCGAGCGUUCAACACUAUUUGCCCGUUACCCGUCGCCACUGCUGUUGAAGACACUUCAACGGGGGGAGUAUGUUGAGUCGUCCCACUCGCUUCAACCGCGUCCACGACAAGUGGGGGCGACUGUGACGUCGUGGCACAACAGCUCGCCGCGUAUGCGCCGAGACCAGAGGUCAAAUCUUGCUUAUGCGCACCGGCCGCGCCCACGCGUUCUUACUACUUUAAUUCUUAUUUGCUUAAUUGUACUAUAUUGUUAUAUUUAAAGUCAUUAUACGUAUUUACAUGUUAUACA